UACCAGCACCCCGAGUGCUCGGAAUUAUUGGGCGUAAAGCGCACGUAGGCGGUUUGUUAAGUCGGAUGUGAAAUCCCUCGGCUCAACUGAGGAAGUGCAUCCGAAACUGGCAAGCUUGAGUACGAAAGAGGAUCGCGGAAUUCCCGGUGUAGAGGUGAAAUUCGUAGAUAUCGGGAGGAACACCGGUGGCGAAGGCGGCGAUCUGGGUCGAUACUGACGCUGAGGUGCGAAAGCGUGGGGAGCAAACAGG
RNAcentral lists this ribosomal RNA (250 nucleotides) under uncultured bacterium. Its description in RNAcentral is "partial 16S ribosomal RNA". It matches the Rfam family "Bacterial small subunit ribosomal RNA", at positions 524 to 776 of the family's 1533-position model. The record is from RNAcentral.